Molecule: ribosomal RNA, 562 nt
Filed under: Blastocystis sp.
Lineage: Eukaryota; Bigyra; Opalinata; Blastocystidae
Description: SSU rRNA
Rfam family: Eukaryotic small subunit ribosomal RNA
Source: RNAcentral
GGUCCUGCCAGUAGUCAUACGCUCGUCUCAAAGAUUAAGCCAUGCAUGUGUAAGUAUAAAUAAUUCUACUUUGAAACUGCGAAUGGCUCAUUAUAUCAGUUAUAGUUUAUUAGAAAUAAUUUACUACUUGGAUAACCGUAGUAAUUCUAGGGCUAAUACAUGAGUAAAUCCUCGACUUUGAAGAGGUGUGUUUAUUAGUAUGAAAACCAUAUGCUUUGGCAUGAUAGUGAGUAAUAAUAACCUUUCAUAUCGUAUGUUGUAAUAACGAUAGUUCUUUCAAGUUUCUGCCCUAUCAGCUUUCGAUGGUAGUGCAUUGGACUACCAUGGCAGUAACGGGUAACGAAGAAUUUGGGUUCGAUUUCGGAGAGGGAGCCUGAGAGAUGGCUACCACAUCCAAGGAAGGCAGCAGGCGCGUAAAUUACCCAAUCCUGACAUAGGGAGGUAGUGACAAUAAAUCACAAUGCGGGACUUUUAGUUUUGCAAUUGGAUUGAGAACAAUGUAAAAGAGUUAUCGAUAAACAAUUGGAGGGCAAGUCUGGUGCCAGCAGCCGCGGUAAUCCAG